GCCAGGCGUGGUUGCUCACGCCUGUAAUCCCAACAAUUUGGGAGGCUGAGGCGGGUGGUUCAUUUGAGGUCAGGAGCUCAUGACCAGCCUGACCAACAUGGUGAAACCCUGUCUCUA
Unclassified non-coding RNA from Pongo abelii (Sumatran orangutan), 117 nucleotides. It matches the Rfam family "Metazoan signal recognition particle RNA". Rfam says of the family: The signal recognition particle (SRP) is a universally conserved ribonucleoprotein. It is involved in the co-translational targeting of proteins to membranes. The record is from Ensembl. NCBI's taxonomy places the organism in Eukaryota, Metazoa, Chordata, Mammalia, Primates, Hominidae.